GUGGUUGUGUAAUGUGGUGGUUCCAUGCGUUUCCUGGUUCUGUGUGUGGCUCUGUGGUUCUUUAUGUGGUUUUAUUGUUCUGUGUGUGGCUUCAUAGUUCUGUGUCUAGCUUCAUGGGUCUGUAUGUUGCUGCACAGCUGUGUGUGUGUGUGUGUGUGUGUGUGCACACCACCCAAUUUAGGCCACACAGGGACCCCAGAGGAAGAGGAUUACGUGGAUCCAGUUCACAGAUGGGGAAACUGAGGAGAAGCCGUCCGAGAUGCUCCUGGAGACCAGUGGUUCCUGUCGCCUUGCUUUGUGUUUCGUCCUUGCGUCCUCGCUGUCUCCAGAGGCUGAAUGUCUGAGAGCCGCUGGGGCCGGAGUGGGGCCGGAACGUGGGUCUCCUCCCUCGUCCCCACCUUGGCGUCACGGCUCCCCGUGGGCAGGGCCACAGGAGUCCAGGAGGACAGCCCCACCGGGGGUAGCCACGCGGAGGAAUGGGAGGCAGUGCCGACCUCCUCUUUUCUCCCAGGGCUGUGGGCACCCCCUGCACAUCCACCGCCCUUGGGGGGCCUCAGACUCCAGAGGGGCCAGGCCGGCCCCAGAGGGCACAUGCGUGCUCAGCGCGGUGUCCGGCCCUGCAGCCACCAGGGCUCUGCAGGGCGAGCUGCUCCCAGCUGCUCCCUGCUGUCUCUCCAGGACGUCACCCCUUGCUCCUGGGUCCCAAGCCUUCUGCCCCUGCACCGCUACCCAGAAGCCACACUCGGGAGCCAGAGCCACAGAGGACCUUCCUGGGUGCCAGGCACACAGCCCUCAGACCCCCGCUGGCCCGUGGGCUGCAGGUCCCCUGAUCUUCUUGGGUCCACUGCCCUCCCCCGGACCCUAUGGUGCUGCUUGCUGACUAGCCACUGGGAGCGCCCUGCCCCUUAGACAGCUGGCCUCAGGACUGAGAUGGGGCCUCAGGCAGCCAGCCCUGUCUCACCUUUGCCCCUGGAUGCUGGCUGUAGGCCCAAGACCCACACCUCCCAGGUGGGCCUUCUCUCUCCGCCAGGCCUCUGCGUGGCCCUGUCCUGUCCCCCUCUCUCCCUAUGGACCUGGGGCACGGCCUGGAGGCCAGUCUGGGGAGGCCUGGGGAGGAGGACGUGGGCAAGCAGAACAUGCAAGGUUUCUGUAUGGGAAGCCACCGGGUCCCUGGGUGGCCUGGGGCAGCAGCAGCCAGUGGCCAUCAGGGACUUGGGGACACAGGCUUUGUGAGCCAGAGCCAGAGUGUGGCCUUAGCCUGAAGGUGGGGAGCCAUUAAGUGGUUAAAACUGUUUUUCUGGUCAUAAAUGUGCACACUCUUGUCAACUUCAAAAAAGCAGAAAGAAG
Molecule: long non-coding RNA, 1347 nt
Filed under: Equus asinus (donkey)
Lineage: Eukaryota; Metazoa; Chordata; Mammalia; Perissodactyla; Equidae
Description: lncRNA (ENSEASG00005037575.1)
Source: RNAcentral